CGCACGGGUGCGUAACGCGUAUGCAACCUACCUUUAACUGGGAGAUAGCCCCGAGAAAUCGGGAUUAAUACCCCAUAACAUCCAGGAAUCUCAUGUUUUCUGGAUUAAAGCUCCGGCGGUUAAAGAUGGGCAUGCGUGACAUUAGCUAGUUGGUGAGGUAACGGCUCACCAAGGCUACGAUGUCUAGGGGUUCUGAGAGGAUUUUCCCCCACACUGGUACUGAGACACGGACCAG
RNAcentral lists this ribosomal RNA (235 nucleotides) under uncultured bacterium. RNAcentral describes it as "partial 16S ribosomal RNA". It matches the Rfam family "Bacterial small subunit ribosomal RNA", at positions 99 to 334 of the family's 1533-position model. The record is from RNAcentral.